AAACUUUUAACAACGGAUCUCUUGGCUCUAGCAUCGAUGAAGAACGCAGCGAAACGCGAUAUGUAGUGUGAAUUGCAGAAUUCAGUGAAUCAUCGAAUCUUUGAACGCACAUGGCGCCUUCCAGUAUCCUGGGAGGCAUGCCUGUCCGAGCGUCGUUUCAACCCUCGAGCCCCAGUGGCCCGGUGUUGGGG
This 191-nucleotide ribosomal RNA is filed under the name Verticillium albo-atrum. RNAcentral describes it as "5.8S ribosomal RNA". The stretch from base 2 to 155 matches the Rfam family "5.8S ribosomal RNA". Rfam says of the family: 5.8S ribosomal RNA (5.8S rRNA) is a component of the large subunit of the eukaryotic ribosome. Lineage: Eukaryota; Fungi; Ascomycota; Sordariomycetes; Glomerellales; Plectosphaerellaceae. The record is from RNAcentral.